This 66-nucleotide small RNA is filed under the name Lederbergia galactosidilytica. Its description in RNAcentral is "Bacillus galactosidilyticus Bacillaceae-1 RNA". It matches the Rfam family "Bacillaceae-1 RNA". The record is from Rfam by way of RNAcentral. Lineage: Bacteria; Bacillati; Bacillota; Bacilli; Caryophanales; Bacillaceae.
CAGAAUAGAUCAAAGGCUAAGGUCGCGCCGUCCUGGCGGCAGUCUUAAAGCACGACGUCCUGUCGU